CAUAUUUACAGCCAGCAACGGUCCACGAUAUGCACCUGACAAGUUGGUAGGGGGAGUUGGAGCGAGCAGUAGAAGGAGGGGGAUUAGUCUUUCAAACAAAGCUUUGAGUUCCUAGUAAAGGAAUCAAACUCCACGACUCCACAGAUCAUCUUCUACUCUCUUCCUUCCUUAAAUACUCUGCCCUGAGACCACCAUGCCAUAAAGAAAUCUGGGCUGAAAGACCACAUGGAGAUAGAAGGGCCCAGCAUCACAGCUACUCAGUCCACAGCUGAUCUUCCAGCAGAAUGCAGGGCUCAGGAUGGACAAGGUAGCCCAGAGCUGGACCAACUGCCAAGAGGAGUCCCUUCUGCCCUCUGCCCUCUCAACAAGCGACUCUUCACGGCUUCUCCUCUUCCCCGGUGACAAUGACAGCCAGCGAUGGGCCGACAGCCUACUCUCAACCUGGCCUGGGUCUGGUGGCCCCAGCGUGAGAUCACCAUAGUGAGCAACCUGGUCUCCAUAGCAACCAGCUGUGACAUCACAAGGAACCCAUGGACCCUGGAGCUGGAAGAGAGGAAGCUUGAAUGCCUGUUUGGGGAAGAAAGCCUUUGCUCCCCCUCCUUCGGCCUCUCCUGUGAUAGGGGAAGAGGACAUAGAAACGCUGAGAGAGCCAGGGCCUCCGCUUCUCUGGAGGUUUGAGCGGGGUCUACUCGAAAUCCUUCCCUUCCUCUCUUUGUCCCCGUUCUCCUCAUCCCUCAAAAAAUAUGUAUCUCAUUUUCCUCAACUGUAAAAUGGGGACAUUAGAAGCCGCUCUUGAGUGUUUAUUAUAUGCCAGGCACUAUUAUAAGCAUCUUGCAUGGAUUUUCUCAUUUACUUCAUAACAACCCUAUAAAGUACUUUCUUCUUAGUAUUCCCCCUUCUGUAAGUGGAGGGAAAGGAAGCACAGCAGAAGGAUUGGAAUCAAGACAGCCUGGCUCCAGAGCCUGUUUUCAUAACUACGAGAGAAUGCACCAGAUUCCUUCUGAACGCCGCCUGCCACGUGCGCGG
Molecule: long non-coding RNA, 1026 nt
Filed under: Macaca fascicularis (crab-eating macaque)
Lineage: Eukaryota; Metazoa; Chordata; Mammalia; Primates; Cercopithecidae
Description: lncRNA (ENSMFAG00000062160.1)
Source: RNAcentral